AACCAGACGUUUGUAUUUACAUCCACAUACGGUGUACCAAGGCUAUUCAGACCAACCGGUGCCAAUCGUUAUUAUUAUAUGUGUUUGAAUGACUUGUUAGCACUUGGUGGGGGUGCCAACUUUGCUUUGUGCUUGGAUGGAGAUCUAUUAAAUGGAACUAGUGGACCUUGUGAAACAUUUGGAAACAAGUGUUUGGCUCAUAACGAGGAAUUUGAACUAAAGAAUGUCGAGCUUUGGGGAUUCAAGCAUGCAUAUAGAAAUACCUUAAACUGAAAGCAAUUACUAAAAGAACGAUGGGAUUUUUAGCACAUAUGUAAGUAUUGUAUAGAAAGUACUUUGAAGGUGAUGGGCAAAUUGCUGGUAGGUUGUUAUGGAGGUUUCUGAAUAGUAAUGCUGAUGCUGU
Gossypium raimondii (Peruvian cotton) is the source of this 403-nucleotide RNA transcript. RefSeq lists it as uncharacterized. The transcript has 4 exons. The record is from RefSeq and is a predicted model, not a curated record. Lineage: Eukaryota; Viridiplantae; Streptophyta; Magnoliopsida; Malvales; Malvaceae.